RNAcentral lists this microRNA precursor (112 nucleotides) under Selaginella moellendorffii. RNAcentral's name for it is "miR156b stem-loop (smo-MIR156b)". Its record names the gene smo-MIR156b. Lineage: Eukaryota; Viridiplantae; Streptophyta; Lycopodiopsida; Selaginellales; Selaginellaceae. The record is from miRBase by way of RNAcentral.
UGGACUGCUGCUGACAGAAGAUAGAGAGCACAGACGUUUGGCUGCAAGAGCGGAAUCCAUAUCCAGCAGCUCUGCGUUCGUGCUCUCUAUUCUUCUGUCAUCAAUCUUUCGA